GCAAGUCAACUGGAACAGGCCUACUACACGUACUCUACUAGUGCGAAAUUACGAAAAUCAGCUGCGGUAGUCUGGUAGAUGAUGUAGCUAGCUAUUCAGAAACAGUGUCUUAUAUCUUUUUAUGGAACAGUACCAUAUAUCUUGAUCUUCAAGGACUAUUCAGAGCCCUAAACGGCCCACAAGGAUGCAUACAUUCUCUCGGCCGGCCGCUUCUUUCUAAGCAAGCCAACAUGCCAUUUGCCAAGGCAGGCCCAUUACUACAUGCCAGUCUUAUUUGGUAAUCGCCGCCGCCUCCAGGCCCUCCGCGGGUGGACAUCGUUCGUCGCCCCGCGCACCCAAAUCCUGCCUGCAACGCCUACCUCCGCCGCCGCUGGCGCCACUCCUCCACCCUCGUGCCCCUGCCUCCUCCACGGCUGGCCCCCGUCCUCCCCUGUGCUCUAGGCUGACCAGGCAGCACUGCCACACCCGGCCAAGUGAUUGCAACAAGGUUUAGGAGGACCUGCAGAGGGUGAUGAUUGACGUGCUGGGAGCGUGAGGGGAACUCAACCUUCUUGAUCAUCUUAAGUGAUAAGUUGGAUUCUCGCUUGGGUCCAAUGAGCAUUUCGACCUUUAGUUUCUGGGUUACACAGCUACCUCUCAACAGCCAAUACCCUUUUGGUGGUCAAAAGAAUUAUGGCUAGCUAGGUACAGACACAACAAUUAAAGUAAUAUUGUGAAGAGCUGAGUGAUACGAGGAUUAAGCAUUGCAGCCUCAGCCACGUGACCUCCCUUUGGAACUGAACAAUUGACCAUCAGUUCUAAUGAUUAUUGUUUAAGGUGUGCAUUGCUAUUCGCAUUGGUUGGUUCAAAGUGCCUUGGGCACCACCUGCGAGAGAACAUGUACUUACCCACGAAAUGCUAGCUAUUCUGAGAAGAAGUGACAUGCCAGAUCACUCAAUCAUAAUUGUUUUGAACUGCUACAUGGACCUGCAUUAAGGUAGUUACCAAGUGUUCGAUCAGGUUAUGCGAGCUCAAUUUGGUGGUGAAGGAUAUUAUACAGUCACAAUGCAGUUUUGGUCCAUAUGUGAAUCUGCAGAUAUUGGGUCAGCCUUUUAAUAUUUUCUUUGAUAUUGCAUUAUCGCAAUCUCACCUGAAUUACAUUCCUCAAGUUUUAUCACUGGGGUGAUAUCUCAAAUUUCUGUUCGGAAAUUGUCAAAUGUGAUUUCUAUGCAAGCCGGUCUAAUGGGGCUUGAAUUAGUUCAUUUAGGCAAUAUUGGAAAGGCAUCUCUGGUUCCUCCAUUUGCUUUGCUGGGUGCAGUAUAGCUCAUCUUGCAUGGUUGAGGAUGUUCAGCAGAAUAACCAUUGGUUUAGUUUACUAAACUACAUUGUGUUUUAUUAAGGGGACACUUGAAAGGUAUAUUUCUAUACAUCUUCAGGGUCCUUGAAGUCAUGAACAACUUAGACCAUGGAUGGUUCUCUGUUAGAUUUUAUCUUAAAGAGUUGAAAAGGAUGCCUGGAAGUUUACCAUUGGUGGGCAAUGGUAUAAAGCUUCCAGUUCAUCACUACGUGGUUAAUCUUGCUGCAGUACUGCUCUUCACAACUGACUAAUCUUGAUGUAUCAUGGAAUUUAAUAAGAGCAGCAACAUGCACAUAUUCACUCCUGA
This is a long non-coding RNA of Panicum hallii, 1643 nucleotides long. RefSeq lists it as uncharacterized. The transcript has 3 exons. The record is from RefSeq and is a predicted model, not a curated record. NCBI's taxonomy places the organism in Eukaryota, Viridiplantae, Streptophyta, Magnoliopsida, Poales, Poaceae.